RNAcentral lists this ribosomal RNA (245 nucleotides) under uncultured bacterium. RNAcentral describes it as "partial 16S ribosomal RNA". It matches the Rfam family "Bacterial small subunit ribosomal RNA", at positions 524 to 768 of the family's 1533-position model. The record is from RNAcentral.
UACGGAGGGUGCAAGCGUUGUUCGGAAUUAUUGGGCGUAAAGCGCGUGUAGGCGGUCAGGUAAGUCAGAUGUGAAAGCCUUUUGCUUAACAGAAGAAGUGCAUUUGAAACUGCUUGGCUUGAGUACGGGAGAGGAGAGUUGAAUUCCCGGUGUAGAGGUGAAAUUCGUAGAUAUCGGGAGGAACACCAGUGGCGAAAGCGGCUCUCUGGUCCGAUACUGACGCUGAGACGCGAAAGCGUGGGGAG